CCUGAUGCAGCGACGCCGCGUGAGGGAUGACGGCCUUCGGGUUGUAAACCUCUUUCAGCAGGGACGAAGCGCAAGUGACGGUACCUGUAGAAGAAGCACCGGCCAACUACGUGCCAGCAGCCGCGGUAAUACGUAGGGUGCGAGCGUUGUCCGGAAUUACUGGGCGUAAAGAGCUCGUAGGUGGUUUGUCGCGUUGUUCGUGAAAACUCACAGCUCAACUGUGGGCGUGCGGGCGAUACGGGCAGACUUGAGUACUGCAGGGGAGACUGGAAUUCCUGGUGUAGCGGUGGAAUGCGCAGAUAUCAGGAGGAACACCGGUGGCGAAGGCGGGUCUCUGGGCAGUAACUGACGCUGAGGAGCGAAAGCGUGGGGAGCGAACAGGAUUAGAUACCCUGGUAGUCCACGCCGUAAACGGUGGGUACUAGGUGUGGGUUUCCUUCCUUGGGAUCCGUGCCGUAGCUAACGCAUUAAGUACCCCGCCUGGGGAGUACGGCCGCAAGGCUAAAACUCAAAGAAAUUGACGGGGGCCCGCACAAGCGGCGGAGCAUGUGGAUUAAUUCGAUGCAACGCGAAGAACCUUACCUGGGUUUGACAUGCACAGGACGCCGGCAGAGAUGUCGGUUCCCUUGUGGCCUGU
RNAcentral lists this ribosomal RNA (637 nucleotides) under Mycobacterium sp. Se3Pt_1490. RNAcentral describes it as "bacterial SSU rRNA". It matches the Rfam family "Bacterial small subunit ribosomal RNA", at positions 382 to 1031 of the family's 1533-position model. The record is from RNAcentral. Lineage: Bacteria; Bacillati; Actinomycetota; Actinomycetes; Mycobacteriales; Mycobacteriaceae. RNAcentral also lists the same sequence under 1 other name.